RNAcentral lists this ribosomal RNA (460 nucleotides) under uncultured bacterium. RNAcentral's name for it is "partial 16S ribosomal RNA". It matches the Rfam family "Bacterial small subunit ribosomal RNA", at positions 338 to 795 of the family's 1533-position model. The record is from RNAcentral.
CCUACGGGCGGCAGCAGUGAGGAAUAUUGGUCAAUGGACGAGAGUCUGAACCAGCCAAGUAGCGUGAAGGAUGACUGCCCUAGGGGUUGUAAACUUCUUUUAUAAAGGAAUAAAAUGAGGCACGUGUGCCUUUUUGCAUGUACUUUAUGAAUAAGGAUCGGCUAACUCCGUGCCAGCAGCCGCGGUAAUACGGAGGAUCCGAGCGUUAUCCGGAUUUAUUGGGUUUAAAGGGAGCGUAGAUGGGUUGUUAAGUCAGUUGUGAAAGUUUGCGGCUCAACCGUAAAAUUGCAAUUGAUACUGGCAGUCUUGAGUACAGAUGAGGUAGGCGGAAUUCGUGGUGUAGCGGUGAAAUGCGUAGAUAUCACGAAGAACACCGAUUGCGAAGGCAGCUUACUAAACUGUCACUGACAUUGAUGCUCGAAAGUGUGGGUAGCAAACAGGAUUAGAUACCCUAGUAGUC